Molecule: ribosomal RNA, 1183 nt
Filed under: Latilactobacillus sakei
Lineage: Bacteria; Bacillati; Bacillota; Bacilli; Lactobacillales; Lactobacillaceae
Description: bacterial SSU rRNA
Rfam family: Bacterial small subunit ribosomal RNA
Source: RNAcentral
CCCUAGGGGGUGCUAAUAAUGACAAGUCGAACGCACUCUCGUUAGAUUGAAGAAGCUUGCUUCUGAUUGAUAACAUUUGAGUGAGUGGCGGACGGGUGAGUAACACGUGGGUAACCUGCCCUAAAGUGGGGGAUAACAUUUGGAAACAGAUGCUAAUACCGCAUAAAACCUAGCACCGCAUGGUGCAAGGUUGAAAGAUGGUUUCGGCUAUCACUUUAGGAUGGACCCGCGGUGCAUUAGUUAGUUGGUGAGGUAAAGGCUCACCAAGACCGUGAUGCAUAGCCGACCUGAGAGGGUAAUCGGCCACACUGGGACUGAGACACGGCCCAGACUCCUACGGGAGGCAGCAGUAGGGAAUCUUCCACAAUGGACGAAAGUCUGAUGGAGCAACGCCGCGUGAGUGAAGAAGGUUUUCGGAUCGUAAAACUCUGUUGUUGGAGAAGAACGUAUUUGAUAGUAACUGAUCAGGUAGUGACGGUAUCCAACCAGAAAGCCACGGCUAACUACGUGCCAGCAGCCGCGGUAAUACGUAGGUGGCAAGCGUUGUCCGGAUUUAUUGGGCGUAAAGCGAGCGCAGGCGGUUUCUUAAGUCUGAUGUGAAAGCCUUCGGCUCAACCGAAGAAGUGCAUCGGAAACUGGGAAACUUGAGUGCAGAAGAGGACAGUGGAACUCCAUGUGUAGCGGUGAAAUGCGUAGAUAUAUGGAAGAACACCAGUGGCGAAGGCGGCUGUCUGGUCUGUAACUGACGCUGAGGCUCGAAAGCAUGGGUAGCAAACAGGAUUAGAUACCCUGGUAGUCCAUGCCGUAAACGAUGAGUGCUAGGUGUUGGAGGGUUUCCGCCCUUCAGUGCCGCAGCUAACGCAUUAAGCACUCCGCCUGGGGAGUACGACCGCAAGGUUGAAACUCAAAGGAAUUGACGGGCGCCCGCACAAGCGGUGGAGCAUGUGGUUUAAUUCGAAGCAACGCGAAGAACCUUACCAGGUCUUGACAUCCUUUGACCACUCUAGAGAUAGAGCUUUCCCUUCGGGGACAAAGUGACAGGUGGUGCAUGGUUGUCGUCAGCUCGUGUCGUGAGAUGUUGGGUUAAGUCCCGCAACGACCGCACCCUUAUUACUAGUUGCCAGCAUUUAGUUGGGCCCUCUAGUGAGACUGCCGGGGACAACCGGAGGAAGGGGGGGACAAC